GACGAACGCUGGCGGCGUGCUUAACACAUGCAAGUCGAACGGUGAACCUCUUCGGAGGGGAUCAGUGGCGAACGGGUGAGUAACACGUGGGCAACCUGCCCCCGGCUCUGGGAUAACUCCAAGAAAUUGGGGCUAAUACCGGAUGUUCACCGCUUCCCGCAUGGGUGGUGGUGAAAAGGGUUUCCGGCUGGGGAUGGGCCCGCGGCCUAUCAGCUUGUUGGUGGGGUAGUGGCCUACCAAGGCGACGACGGGUAGCCGGCCUGAGAGGGUGACCGGCCACGCGGGGAGGGACACACGGCCAAGCCUCGUGGGGGGGGCGGGGGGGGGGAUGUUUGGGAAGGGGGCGGAGCCCGGACGCGGCGCCGCCGGGGGGGGGAGGACGGCUUUGGGUUUGAAACCCUUUUCCAGCGGGGAAAAAGCAAAGGUGGGGUGCCCCGAAAAAGAGCCCCGGGCAAGGCAGGUG
Molecule: ribosomal RNA, 463 nt
Filed under: uncultured bacterium
Lineage: Bacteria
Description: partial 16S ribosomal RNA
Rfam family: Bacterial small subunit ribosomal RNA
Source: RNAcentral